AUAUCUGGCUCAGGGUCGGUUAACAUCCAUCAGACUGUGUUUKCGCGCAGCCUGCAUCGGGCUCCCGUUUGUUCCCAAACGGUGCCUCAGAGUAUACCGUGCGGAGUUUGCAACGACUCAACUCUUGGACCUUACAGUCUGGGUUGGCCUGUCUGCUUCCUGCACGCGUACGGCGCUGGCGCUCUUAAGCGCUCUCGUGCCACCCAAAACACCUU
RNAcentral lists this unclassified non-coding RNA (215 nucleotides) under Ctenocalanus vanus. RNAcentral's name for it is "partial ITS2". Lineage: Eukaryota; Metazoa; Arthropoda; Copepoda; Calanoida; Calanidae. The record is from RNAcentral.